This 17552-nucleotide long non-coding RNA is filed under the name Citrus x clementina. Its description in RNAcentral is "Citrus clementina (C. clementina) long non-coding RNA (CCLE_LNC000004)". The record is from RNAcentral. Lineage: Eukaryota; Viridiplantae; Streptophyta; Magnoliopsida; Sapindales; Rutaceae.
GGUGGGCUAUAGCCUUGGGGGGUGGGGCUGGCCAACUUCGUCCGCCGGACUCGCAAUGCCGCGAGACUUUGCGAGGGGCCUCCGUGUGCCAAAAAUAGCCCGCGGGCAAAGCCGCGCCCAAAAAUAACCGCCCGAAGGCCGGGGCGCCAAGUUCGUCCAGCGGAAAAAGGCCACAAAAACGGGUGGGCUAUAGCCUUGGUGGGUGGGGCUGGCCAACUUUGUCCGCCGGACUCAGAAUGCCGCGAGACUUUGCGAGGGGCCUCCGUGUGCCAAAAAUGGGCCGCGGGCAAAGCCGGCCCCAAAAUUAACUGCCCGAAGGCCGGGACGCCAAGUUCGUCCAGCGGAAAAAGGCCACAAAAACGGGUGGGCUAUUGCCUUGGGGGGUGGGGCUGGCCAACUUCGUCCGCCGGACUCGCAAUGCCGCGAGACUUUGCGAGGGGCCUCCGUAUGCCAAAAAUAAGCCGCGGGCAAAGCCGCUUCCAAAAUUAACCGCCCGAAGGCCGGGGCGCCAAGUUCGUCCAGCGGAAAAAGGCCACAAAAACGGGUGGGCUAUAGCCUUGGGGGGUGAUGCUGGCCAACUUCGGCCGCCGGACUCGGAAUGCCGCGAGAUGUUGUGAGGGGCCUCCGUAUGCCAAAAAUAGGCCGUGGGCAAAGCCGCUCCCAAAAUUAACCGCCCGAAGGCCGGGGCGCCAAGUUCGUCCAGCGGAAAAAGGCCACAAAAACGGGUGGGCUAUAGCCUUGGGGGGUGAUGCUGGCCAACUUCGUCCGCCGGACUCGGAAUGCCGCGAGACUUUGCGAGGGGCCUCCGUUUGCCAAAAAUAGGCUGCAGGCAAAGCUACACACAAAAAUAACCGCUCGAAGGCCGGGGCACCAAGUUCUCCCAGCGGAAAAAGGGCACAAAAACGGGUGGGCUAUAGCCUUGGGGGGUGGGGCUGGCCAACUUCGUCCGCCGGACUCGGAAUGCCGCGAGACUUUGCGAGGAGCCUACGUGUGCCAAAAAUAGGCCGUAGGGACACCCGCACCUCAAAAUAACCGCCCGAAGGCUGGGGCGCCAAGUUCGUGCAGCGGAAAAAGGCCACAAUAACGGGUGGGCUAUAGCCUUGGGGGGUGGGGCUGGCCGACUUCGUCCGCCGAACUCGGAAUGCCGCGAGACUUUACGAGGGCCCUCCGUAUGCCAAAAAUAGGCCGCGGCCAAAGCCGCGCCCAAAAAUAACCGCCCGAAGGCCGGGGCGCCAAGUUCGUCCAGUGGAAAAAGGCCACAAAUACGGGUGGGCUAUAGCCUUGGGGGGUGGGGCUGGCCAACUUCGUCCGCCGGACUCGGAAUGCCGCGAGACUUUGCGAGGGGCCUCCGUUUGCCAAAAAUAGGCUGCAGGCAAAGCUACACACAAAAAUAACCGCUCGAAGGCCGGGGCACCAAGUUCUCCCAGCGGAAAAAGGGCACAAAAACGGGUGGGCUAUAGCCUUGGGGGGUGGGGCUGGCCAACUUCGUCCGCCGGACUCGGAAUGCCGCGAGACUUUGCGAGGAGCCUACGUGUGCCAAAAAUAGGCCCGUAGGGACACCGCGACACCUUGCAAGUAACCUCCGUGUGCCCAAAAUAGGCCGCGGCGCCAAGUUCGAGCGGCGAAAAAUAACCACCCGAAAACCGGGUGCGCCUAGUUAGCCUUGGGGGGUGGGGCUGGCCAAAACUUCGUCCGCCGGAGCUUCGGGGAAUGGGGCUGGCGAGACUUCGCCCGACGGCACUCGGAAUGCCAAGAGACUUUGCCGCGGGCCCAAGCCGCGCGCCAAAAAUAGGCCGCGGCCAAAGGCCGGCCCGCCAAGAACCGCCCGAAGGCAGGGGCGCCAAGUUCGUCCGGUGGAAAAAGGUGGGGGAUAGGGCGGGCCUACUGCCUCGGCCGGUGGCGGAAUGCCGACAGACUUUGCGAGGGGCCUCCAUGUCGCAAAAAUAGGCCGCGGGCAAAGCAGCGCCCAAAAUUAACCGCCCAAAGGCCGGGGCCCCAAGUUCGUCCAGCGGAAAAACGCCACAAAAACGGGUGGGCUAUUGCCUUGGGGGGUGAUGCUGGCCAACUUCGUCCGGCGGACUCGGAAUGCCGCGAGACUUUAUGAGGGGUCUCCGUAUGCCAAAAAUAGGCCUGGGGCAAAGCCGCGCCCAAAAAAUAAGCCACGGGCAAAGCCGCGCCCAAAAAUAACCGCCCGACGGCCGGGGCGCCAAGUUCGUCCCGCUGAAAAAGGCCACAAAAACGGGUGGGCUAUAGCCUUGGGGGGUGAUGCUGGCCAACUUCGUCCGCGGGACUCGGAAUUCCGUGAGACUUUGUGAGGGACCUCCGUGUGCCAAAAAUAGGCCGCAGGCAAAGCCGCACCCAAAAAAAAUCGCCCGAAGGCCGGGGCGCCAUGUUCGUGCAGCGGAAAAAGGCCACAAAAACGGGUGGGCUAUAGCCUUGGGGGGUGGGGCUGGCCAACUUCGUCCGCCGGACUCGGAAUGCCGCGAGACUUUGCGAGGCACCUCCGUAUGCCAAAAAUAGGCAGCGGGCAAAACCGCGCCCAAAAAUAACCGCCCGAAGGCCGGGGCGCCAAGUUCGUCCAGCGGAAAAAGACCUCAAAAACAGGUGGGCUAUAGCCUUGGGGGGUGAUGCUGGCCAACUUCGUCCGCCCGGACUCGGAAUGCCGCGAGACUUUGCGAGGCGCCUCCGUGUGCCAAAAAUAGGCAGCGGGCAGCCAAAAAUAACAACCCGAAGGCUGGGGCGCCAAGUUCGUCCAGCGGAAAAAGGCCACAAAAACGGGUGGGCUAUAGCCUUGGGGGGUGGGGCUGGCCGACUUCAUCCGCCGGACUCGGAAUGCCGCGAGACUUUGCGAGGGGCCUCCGUAUGCCAAAAAUAGGUCGUCGACAAAGCCGCGCCCAAAAAUAACCACCCGAAGGCCGGGGCGCCAAGUUCGUCCAGCGGAAAAAGGCCACAAAAACGGGUGGGCUAUAGCCUUGGGGGGUGGGGCUGGCCAACUUCGUCCGCCGGAUUCGGAAUGCCGCGAGACUUUGCGAGGGGCCUCCGUGUGCCAAAAAUAGGCCGCGGGCAAAGCCGCGCCCAAAAAUAACCGGCCAAAGGCCGGGGCGCCAAGUUUGUCCAGCAGAAAAAGGCCACAAAAACGGGCGGGCUAUAGCCUUGGGGGGUGGGGCUGGCCAACUUCGUCCAUCGGACUCGGAAUGACGCGAGACUUUACGAGGGGCCGCCGUGUGCCAAAAAUAGACCGCGGGCAAAGCCAUGCCCAAAAAUAACCGCCCGAAGGCCGGGGAGCCAAGUUCGUCCAGCGGAAAAAGGCCACAAAAACGGGGGGGCUAUAGCCUUCGGGGGUGGGGCUGGCUAACUUUGUCCGCCGGACUGGGAAUGCCAAAAAUAGGCCACGGGGAAGCCGCGCCCAAAAAUAACCGCCCGAAGGCCGGGUCGCCAAGUUCGUCCAGCGGAAAAAGGCCACAAAAACGGGCGGGCUAUAGCCUUGGGGGAUGGGGCUGGCCCACUUCGUCCGCCGGACUCGGAAUGCCGCGAGACUUUGCGAGGGGCCUCCGUGUGCCAAAAAUAGGCCGCGGGCAAAGCCGCGCCCAAAAAUAACCGCCCGAAGGCCGGGGCGAGAAGUUCGUCCAGCGGAAAAAGGCCACAAAAACGGGGGGGCUAUAGCCUUGGGGGGUGGGGCUGGCCAACUUCGUCCGCCGGAUACGGAAUGCCAAACAUAGGCCAUGGGCGAAGCCGUACCCAAAAAUAACCGACCGAAGGCCGGGGCGCCAAGUUCAUCCAGCGGAAAAAGGCCACAAAAACGGGUGGGCUAUAGCCUUGGGGGGUGGGGCUGGCCAACUUCGUCCGCCGGAUUCGGAAUGCCGCGAGACUUUGCGAGGGGCCUCCGUCUGCCAAAAAUAGGCCGUGGCCGAAGCCGCGCCCAAAAAUAACCGCCCGAAGGCCGGGGCGCCAAGUUCGUCCUGCGGAAGAAGGCCACAAAAACGGGUGGGCUAUAGCCUUGGGGGGUGGGGCUGGCCAAUUUCGUCCGCCGGACUCGGAAUGCCGCGAGACUUUGCGAGGGGCCUCCGCGUGCCAAAAAUAGGCCGCGGGCAAAGCCGCGUCCAAAUAUAACCCCCCGAAGGCCGGGGCGCCAAGUUCGUCCAGUGGAAAAAGGCCACAAAAACGGGUGGGCUAUAGCCUUGGGGGGUGGGGCUGGCCGACUUCGUCCGCCGGACUCGGAAUGCCGCGAGACUUUGCGAGGGGCCUCCGUGUCCCAAAAAAAGGCCGCGGGCAAAGCCAUACCCAAAAAUAAUAGCCCGAAGGCCGGGGCGCCAAGUUCGUCCAGCGGAAAAAGGCCACAAAAACGGGCGGGCUAUAGCCUUGGGGGGUGGGGCUGGCCAACUUCGUCCGCCGGACUCGGAAUGCCGCGAGACAUUCCGAGGAGCCUCCGUGUGCCAAAAAUAGGCUGCGGGCAAAGCCGUGCCCAAAAAUAACCGCCCGAAGGCCGGGGCGCCAAGUUCGUCCAGCGGAAAAAGGCCACAAAAACGGGUGGGCUAUAGCCUCGGGGGGUGGGGCUGGCCAACUUCGUCCGCCGGACUCAUAAUUCCGCGAGACAUUGCAGGGGCCUCCGUGUGCCAAACAUAGGCCGCGGGCAAAGCCGCGCCAAAAAUAACCGCCCGAAGGCCGGGGCGCGAAGUUCGUCCAGCGGAAAAAGGCCACAAAAACGGGGGGGCUAUAGCCUUGGGGGGUGGGGCUGGCCAACUUCGUCCGCCGGACUCGGAAUGCCAAAAAUAGGCCAUGGGCGAAGCCGCGCCCAAAAAUAACCGCACGAAGGCCGGGGCGCCAAGUUCGUCCAGCGGAAAAAGGCCACAAAAACGGGCGGGCUAUAGCCUUGGGGGGUGGGGCUGGCCAAAUUCGUCCGCCGGACUCGGAAUGCCGCGAGACUUUGCGAGGGGCCUCCGUGUGCCAAAAAUAGGCUACGGGCAAAGCCGCGACCAAAAAUAACCGCCCGAAGGCCGGGGCGCCAAGUUCGUCCAACGGAAAAAGGCCACAAAAACGGGUGGGCUAUAGCNNNNNNNNNNNNNNNNNNNNNNNNNNNNNNNNNNNNNNNNNNNNNNNNNNNNNNNNNNNNNNNNNNNNNNNNNNNNNNNNNNNNNNNNNNNNNNNNNNNNNNNNNNNNNNNNNNNNNNNNNNNNNNNNNNNNNNNNNNNNNNNNNNNNNNNNNNNNNNNNNNNNNNNNNNNNNNNNNNNNNNNNNNNNNNNNNNNNNNNNNNNNNNNNNNNNNNNNNNNNNNNNNNNNNNNNNNNNNNNNNNNNNNNNNNNNNNNNNNNNNNNNNNNNNNNNNNNNNNNNNNNNNNNNNNNNNNNNNNNNNNNNNNNNNNNNNNNNNNNNNNNNNNNNNNNNNNNNNNNNNNNNNNNNNNNNNNNNNNNNNNNNNNNNNNACAAAAACGGGGGGGCUAUAGCCUUGGGGGGUGGGGCUGGCCCAACUUCGUCCGCAGACUCGGAAUGCCAAAAAUAGGCCGUGGCGAAGCCUCGCCCAAAAAUAACUGCCCGAAGGCCGGGGCGCCAAGUUCGUCCAGCGGAAAAAGGCCACAAAAACGGGCGGGCUAUAGCUUUGGGGGUGGGGCUGGCCAACUUCGUCCGCCGGACUCGGAAUGCCGCGAGACAUUGCAGGGGCCUCCGUGUGCCAAACAUAGGCCGCGGGCAAAGCCGCGCCCAAAAAUAACCGCCCGAAGGCCGGGGCGCCAAGUUCGUCCAGCGGAAAAAGGCCACAAAAACGGGGGGGCUAUAGCCUUGGGGGGUGGGGCUGGCCAACUUCGUCCGCCGGACUCGGAAUGCCAAAAAUAGGCCGUGGGCGAAGCCUCGCCCAAAAAUAACUGCCCGAAGGCCGGGGCGCCAAGUUCGUCCAGCGGAAAAAGGCCACAAAAACGGGCGGGCUAUAGCCUUGGGGGUGGGGCUGGCCAACUUCGUCCGCCGGACUCGGAAUGCCGCGAGACUUUGCGAGGGGCCUCCGUGUGCCAAACAUAGGCCGCGGGCAAAGCCGCGCCCAAAAAUAACCGCCCGAAGGCCGGGGCGCCAAGUUCGUCCAGCGGAAAAAGGCCACAAAAACGGGCGGGCUAUAGCCUUGGGGGGUGGGGCUGGCCAAAUUCGUCCGCCGGACUCGGAAUGCCGCGAGACUUUGCGAGGGGCCUCCGUGUGCCAAAAAUAGGCUACGGGCAAAGCCGCGACCAAAAAUAACCGCCCGAAGGCCGGGGCGCCAAGUUCGUCCAACGGAAAAAGGCCACAAAAACGGGGGGGCUAUAGCCUUGGGGGGUGGGGCUGGCCAACUUCGUCCGCCGGACUCGGAACGCCGCGAGACUUUGCGAGGGGCCUCCGUGUGCCAAAAAUAGGCCGCGGUCAAAGCCGCGCCCAAAAAUAACUGCCCGAAGGCCGGGGCGCGAAGUUCGUCCAGCGGAAAAAGGCCACAAAAACGGGGGGGCUAUAGCCUUGGGGGGUGGGGCUGGCCCACUUCGUCCGCCGGACUCGGAAUGCCGCAAAACAUAGGGAGGGGCCUCCGUGGGUGAAAAAUAGGCCGCACCCAAAACCGCGCCUAAAAAUAACCGCCCGAAGGCCGGGGCGCCAUGUUCGUCCAGCGGAAAAAGGCCACAAAAACGGGGGGGCUAUAGCCUUGGGGGGUGGGGCUGGCCCACUUCGUCCGCCGGACUCGGAAUGCCAAAAAUGGGCCACGGGCGAAGACUUUGCCGAAAAAUAGGGGCCCUCCGGUUGUGGCCCAAAAAUAGGCCAGCGGAAAAAGGCCACAAAAACGGGCGGGCUAUAGCCUUGGGGGUGGGGCUGGCCAACUUUGUCCGCCGGGCUCGGAAUGCCGCGAGACUUUUCUAGGGGCCUCCGUGUACCAGAAAUAGGCCGUGGGCAAAGCCGCACCAAAAAAUAACAGCCCGAAGGCCGGGGCGCCAAGUUCGUCCAGCGGAAAAAGGCCACAAAAACGGGUGGUCUAUAGCCUUGGGGGGUGGGGCUGGCCAACUUCGUCCGCCGGACUCGAAAUGCCGCGAGACUUGUGAGGGGCCUCCGUGUGCCAAAAAUAGGCUGCGGGCAAAGCCGCGCCCAAAAAUAACCGCCCGAAGGCCGGUGCGCCAUGUUCGUCCAGCGGAAAACGGCCACAAAAACGGGUGGGCUAUAGCCUUGGGGGCUGGGGCUGGCCAACGUCGUCCGCCGGACUCGGAAUGCCGCGAGACUUUGCGAGCGGCCUCCGUGUGCCCAAAAUAGGCAGUGGGCAAAGCCGCGCCCAAAAUUAACCGCCCGAAGGCCGGGGCGACAAGUUCGUCCAGCGGAAAAAGGCCACAAAAACGGGUGCGCUAUAGCCUUGGGGGGUGUGGCUGGCCAACUUCGUCCGCCGGACUCGGAAUUCCGCGAGACUUUGCGAGGGGCCCCCGUGUGCCAAAAAUAGGCCGCAGACAAAGCCGCGCCCAAAAAUAACCACCCGAAGGCGGGGGCGCCAAGUUCGUCCAGCGGAAAAAGGCCACAAAAACGGGUGGGCUAUAGCCUUGGGGGGUGGGGCUGGCCAACUUCGUCCGCCGGACUCGGAAUGCCGCGAGACUUUGGGAGGGGACUCCGUGUGGCAAAAAUAGGCUGCGGGCAAAGCCGCAUCCAAAAAUAACAGCCCGAAGGCCGGGGCGCCAAGUUCGUCCAGCGGAAAAAGGCCACAAAAACGGGUGGGCUAUAGCCUUGGGGGGUGGGGUUGGCCAGCUUCGUCCGCCGGACUCGGAAUGCCGCGAGACUUUGUGAGGGGCCUCCGUCUACCAAAAAUAGGCCGCGGGCAAAGCCGCGCAGAAAAAUAACUGCCCGAAGGCCGGUGCGCCAUGUUCGUCCAGCGGAAAAAGGCCACAAAAACCAGGGGGCUAUAGCCUUGGGGGGUGGGGCUGGCCAACUUCGUCCGCCGGACUCGGAAUGCCAAAAAUAGGCCACGGGCGAAGCUGCGCCCAAAAAUAACCACCCGAAGGCUGGGGAGCUAAGGUCGUCCAGCGAAAAAGGGCACAAAAACGGGCGGGCUAUAGCCUUGGGGGUGGGGCUGGCCAACUUCUUCCGCCGGGCUCGGAAUGCCGCGAGACUUUUCUAGGGGCCUCCGUGUGCCAAAUAUAGGCCGCGGGCAAAGCCGCGCCCAAAAAUAACGGCCCGACGGCCGGGGCGGCAAGUUCGUCCCUUGGAAAAAGGCCACAAAAACGGGUGGGCUAUAGCCUUCGGGGUGAUGCUGGCCAACUUCGUCCGCCGGACUCGGAGUGCCGCGAGACUUUGCGAGGGGCCUCCGUGUGCCAAGAAUAGGCCGCGAGCAAAGCCGUGCCCAAAAUUAACCGCCCGAAGGCCGGGGCGACAAGUUCGUCCAGCGGAAAAAGGCCACAAAAACGGGUGGGCUAUAGCCUUGGGGGGUGGGGCUUACCAACUUCGUCCGCCGGACUCGGAAUGCCGCGAGACUUUCGAGGGGCCUCCGUGUGCCAAAAAUAGGCCGCGGGCAAAGCCGCGCCCAAAAAUAACAGCCCGAAGGCCGGGGCGCCAAGUUCGUCCAGCGGAAAAAGGCCACAAAAACGGGUGGUCUAUAGCCUUGGGGGGUGGGGCUGGCCAACUUCGUCCGCUGGACUCGGAAUGCCGUGACUUGGCGAGGGGCCCCCGUGUGGCAAAAAUAGGCCGCGGACAAAGCAGCGCCCAAAAAUAACCGCCCGAAGGCCGGGGCGCCAAGUUCGUCCAGCGGAAAAAGGCCACAAAAACGAGGGGGCUAUAGCCUUGGGGGGUGGGGCUUGCCAACUUCAUCCGCCGGACUCGGAAUGCCAAAAAUAGGCCGCGGGCAAAGCUACGCCCAAAAAUAACCGCCCGAAGGCCCGGGCGCCAAGUUCGUCCAGCGGAAAAAGGCCACAAAAACAGGUGGGCUAUAGCCUUGGGGGGUGGGGUUGGCCAGCUUCGUCCGCCGGACUCGGAAUGCCGCGAGACUUUGUGAGGGGCCUCCGUCUACCAAAAAUAGGCCGCGGGCAAAGCCGCGCAGAAAAAUAACUGCCCAAAGGCCGGUGCGCCAUGUUCGUCCAGCGGAAAAAGGCCACAAAAACGGGUGGGCUAUAGCCUUGGGGGGUGGGGCUGGCCAAUUUCGUCCGCCGGACUCGGAAUGCAGCAAGACUUUGCGAGGGGCCUCCGUGUGCCAAAAAUAGGCCGCGGACAAAGCCGCGCCCAAAAAUAACUGCCCGAAGGCCGGGCCGCCAAGUUCGUCCAGCGGAAAAAGGCCACAAAAACGAGGGGGCUAUAGCCUUGGGGGGUGGGGCUGGCCAACUUCGUCCGCCGGACUCGGAAUGCCAAAAAUAGGCCACGGGCGAAGCUGCGCCCAAAAAUAACCACCCGAAGGCUGGGGAGCUAAGGUCGUCCAGCGAAAAAGGGCACAAAAACGGGCGGGCUAUAGCCUUGGGGGUGGGGCUGGCCAACUUCGUCCGCCGGGCUCGGAAUGCCGCGAGACUUUUCUAGGGGCCUCCGUGUGCCAAAUAUAGGCCGCGGGCAAAGCCGCGCCCAAAAAUAACGGCCCGACGGCCGGGGCGGCAAGUUCGUCCCUUGGAAAAAGGCCACAAAAACGGGUGGGCUAUAGCCUUCGGGGUGAUGCUGGCCAAAUUCGUCCGCCGGACUCGGAGUGCCGCGAGACUUUACGAGGGGCCUCCGUGUGCCAAGAAUAGGCCGCGAGCAAAGCCGCGCCCAAAAUUAACCGCCCGAAGGCCGGGGCGACAAGUUCGUCCAGCGGAAAAAGGCCACAAAAACGGGUGGGCUAUAGCCUUGGGGGGUGGGGCUUGCCAACUUCGUCCGCCGGACUCGGAAUGCCGCGAGACUUUCGAGGGGCCUCCGUGUGCCAAAAAUAGGCCGCGGGCAAAGCCGCGCCCAAAAAUAACAGCCCGAAGGCCGGGGCGCCAAGUUCGUCCAGCGGAAAAAGGCCACAAAAACGGGUGGUCUAUAGCCUUGGGGGGUGGGGCUGGCCAACUUCGUCCGCUGGACUCGGAAUGCCGUGACUUGGCGAGGGGCCCCCCUGUGGCAAAAAUAUGCCGCGGACAAAGCCGCGNNNNNNNNNNNNNNNNNNNNNNNNNNNNNNNNNNNNNNNNNNNNNNNNNNNNNNNNNNNNNNNNNNNNNNNNNNNNNNNNNNNNNNNNNNNNNNNNNNNNNNNNNNNNNNNNNNNNCGGAAUGCCAAAAAUAGGCCGCGGGCAAAGCUACGCCCAAAAAUAACCGCCCGAAGGCCGGGGCGCCAAGUUCGUCCAGCGGAAAAAGGCAACAAAAACGGGCGGGCUAUAGCCUUGGGGGGUGGGGCUGGCCAACUUCGUCCGCCGGACUCGGAAUGCCGCGAGACUUUGCGAGGGGCCUCCGUGUGCCAAAAAUAGGCUGCGGGUAAUGCCAAGCCCAAAAAUAACCACCCGACAGCCAGGGUGCCAAGUUCGUCCAGCGGAAAAAGGCCACAAAAACGGGUGGGCUAUAGACUUGGGGGUGAUGCUGGCCAACUUCGUCCGCCGGACUCGGAGUGCCGCGAGACUUUGCGAGGGGCCUCCGUGUGCCAAGAAUAGGCCGCGAGCAAAGCCGCACCAAAAAUUAACCGCCCGAAGGCCGGGGCGCCAAGUUCGUCCAACGGAAAAAUGCCACAAAAACGGGUGGGCUAUAGCCUUGGAGGGUGGGGCUUGCCAACUUCGUCCGCCGGACUCGGAAUGCCGCGAGACUUUUGAGGGGCCUCCGUGUGCCAAAAAUAGGCCGCGGGCAAAGCCGCACCCAAAAAUAACCGCCCGACGGCCGGGGCGCCAUGUUCGUCCAGCGGAAAAUGUCCACAAAAACGAGUGGGCUAUAGCCUUGGGGGGUGAUGCUGGCAAACUUCGUCCGCCGGACUCGGAAUGCCGCGAGACUAUGCGAGGGGCCUCUGUGUGCCAAAUAUAGGCCGCAGGCAAAGCCGCGCCCAAAAAUAACGGCCCGACGGCCGGGGCGGCAAGUUCGUCCAUUGGAAAAAAGCCACAAAAACGGGUGGGCUAUAGCCUUCGGGGUGAUGCUGGCCAACUUCGUCCGCCGGACUCGGAAUGCCGCGAGACUUUGCCAGGGGCCUCCGUAUGCCAAAAAUAGGCCGCGGACAAAGCCGCGCCCAAAAUUAACCGCACGAAGGCCGGGGCGCCAAGUUCGUCCAGUGGAAAAAGACCACAAAAACGGGUGGGCUAUAGCCUUGGGGGGUGAUGCUGGCCAAGUUCGUCCGCCGGACUCGGAAUGCCGCGAGACUUUGCGAGGGGCCUCCGUGUGCUAAAAAUAGGCCGUGGGAUGUUUAAAAGGUUUGUGGUUCAAAAUUUUAUGUUAUCUAGUGAUAAAAUUUUGUAGUGCAUUUUAUAGAUAGGUAGCAGCAGCAAGUUCCGGGGCGCCAAUUUCGUCUAGCGGAAAAAGGGCACAAAAACGGGUGGGCUAUAGCCUUGGGGGGUGAUGCUGGACAACUUCGUCCGCCGGACUCGGAAUGCCACGAGACUUUGCGAGGGGCCUCCGUGUGCCAAAAAUAGGCCGCGGGCAAAGCCGCGCCCAAAAUUAACCGCCCGAAGUCCGGGGCGCCAAGUUCCUCCAGCGGAAAAAGGCCACAAAAACGGGUGGGCUAUAGCCUUGGGGGGUGGGGCGGGCCAACUUCGUCCGCCGGACUCGGAAUGCCGCGAGACUUUGCGAGGGGCCUCCGUGUGCCAAAAAUAGGCCGCGGGCAAAGCCGCGACCAAAAAUAACCGCCCGAAGGCCGGGGCGCCAAGUUCGUCCAGCAGAAAAAGGCCACAAACACGGGUGGGCUAUAGCCUUGGGGGGUGGGGCUGGCCUACUUCGUCCGCCGGACUCGGAAUGCCGCGAGACAUUGCGAGGGGCCUCCGUGUGCCAAUAAUAGGCCGCGGGCAAAGCCGCGCACAAAAAUAACCACCCGAAGGCCCGGGCGCCAAGUUCGUCCAGCGGAAAAAUGCCACAAAAACGGGUGGGCUAUAGCCUUGGGGGGGGGGGCUGGCCAACUUCGUCCGCCGGACUCGAAAUGCCCCGAGACUUUGCCAGGGGCCUCCGUGUGCCAAAAAUAGGCCGCGGGCAAUGCCGCGCUCAAAAAUAACCAACCGAAGGCCGGGGCGCCAAGUUCGUCCAGCGGAAAAAGGCCACAAAAACGGGUGGGCUAUAGCCUUGGGGGGGGGGGCUGGCCAACUUUGUCCCGCCGGACUCGGAUUGCCGCGAGACUUUGCGAGGGGCCUCCGUGUGNNNNNNNNNNNNNNNNNNNNNNNNNNNNNNNNNNNNNNNNNNNNNNNNNNNNNNNNNNNNNNNNNNNNNNNNNNNNNNNNNNNNNNNNNNNNNNNNNNNNNNNNNNNNNNNNNNNNNNNNNNNNNNNNNNNNNNNNNNNNNNNNNNNNNNNNNNNNNNNNNNNNNNNNNNNNNNNNNNNNNNNNNNNNNNNNNNNNNNNNNNNNNNNNNNNNNNNNNNNNNNNNNNNNNNNNNNNNNNNNNNNNNNNNNNNNNNNNNNNNNNNNNNNNNNNNNNNNNNNNNNNNNNNNNNNNNNNNNNNNNNNNNNNNNNNNNNNNNNNNNNNNNNNNNNNNNNNNNNNNNNNNNNNNNNNNNNNNNNNUGCCAAAAAUAGGCCGCGGGUAUAGCCGCGCCCAAAAUUAACCGCCCGAAGGCCGGGGCGACAAGUUCGUCCAGCGGAAAAAGGCCACAAAAACGGGUGGGCUAUAGCCUUGGGGGGGGGGGGCUGGCCAACUUCGUCCGCCGGACUCGGAAUGUCGCGAGACUUUGCGAGGGUCCUCCGUGUGCCAAAAAUAGGUCGCGGGCAAAGCCGCGCCCACAAAUAACUGCCCGAAGGCCGGGGUGCCAAGUUCGUCCAGCGGAAAAAGGCCACAAAAACGGGUGGGCUAUAGCCUUGGGGGUGGGGCUGGCCAACUUUGUCCGUCGGACUCGGAUUGCCGCGAGACUUUGCGAGGGGCCUCCGUGUGCCAAAAAUAGGCCGCGGGCAAAUCCGCGCCCAAAAAUAACCGCCCGAAGGCCGGGGCGCCAAGUUCGCUCAGCGGAAAAAGGCCACAAAAACGGGUGGGCUAUAGCCUUGUGGGGUGGGGCUGGCCCACUUCCUCCCCCGGACUCAGAAUGCCGGAAGACUUUGCGAGGGGCCUCUGUGUGCCAAAAAUAGGCCGCGGGCAAUGCCGCGCUCAAAAAUAACCAACCGAAGGCCGGGGCGCCAAGUUCGUCCAGCGGAAAAAGGCCACAAAAACGGGUGGGCUAUAGCCUUGGGGGUGGGGCUGGCCAACUUCGUCCGCCGGACUCGGAAUGCCGCGAGACUUUGCGUUGGGCCUCCGUGUGCCAAAAAUAGGCCGCGGGUAUAGCCGCGCCCAAAAUUAACCGCCCGAAGGCCGGGGCGACAAGUUCGUCCAGCGGAAAAAGGCCACAAAAACGGGUGGGCUAUAGCCUUGGGGGGUGGGGCUUGCCAACUUCGUCUGCCGGACUCGGAAUGCCGCGAGACUUUCGAGGGGCCUCCGUGUGCCAAAAAUAGGCCGCGGGAAAAGCCGCGCCCAAAAAUAACAGCCCGAAGGCCGGGGCGCCAAGUUCGUCCAGCGGAAAAAGGCCACAAAAACGGGUGGUCUAUAGCCUUGGGGGGUGGGGCUGGCCAGCUUCGUCCGCUGGACUCGGAAUGCCGUGACUUGGCGAGGGGCCCCCGUGUGCCAAAAAUAGGCCGCGGACAAAGCCGCGCCCAAAAAUAACCGCCCGAAGGCCGGGGCGCCAAGUUCGUCCAGCGGAAAAAGGCCACAAAAACGAGGGGGCUAUAGCCUUGGGGGGUGGGGCUUGCCAACUUCAUCCGCCGGACUCGGAAUGCCAAAAAUAGGCUGCGGGCAAAGCUACGCCCAAAAAUAACCGCCCGAAGGCCGGGGCGCCAAGUUCGUCCAGCGGAAAAAGGCCACAAAAACGGGCGGGCUAUAGCCUUGGGGGGUGGGGCUGGCCGACUUCGUCCGCCGGACUCGGAAUGCCGCGAGACUUUGCGAGGGGCCUCCGUGUGCCAAAAAGAGGCUGCGGGUAAUGCCAAGCCCAAAAAUAACCACCCAACAGCCAGGGUGCCAAGUUCGCUCAGCGGAAAAAGGCCACAAAAACGGGUGGGCUAUAGCCUUGUGGGGUGGGGCUGGCCCACUCCCUCCCCCGGACUCAGAAUGCCGGAAGACUUUGCGAAGGGCCUCUGUGUGCCAAAAAUAGGCCGCGGGCACUGCCGCGCUCCAAAAUAACCAACCGAAGGCCGGGGCGCCAAGUUCGUCCAGUGGAAAAAGGCCACAAAAACGGGUGGGCUAUAGCCUUGGGGGUGGGGCUGGCCAACUUCGUCCGCCGGACUCGGAAUGCCGCGAGACUUUGCGUUGGGCCUCCGUGUGCCAAAAAUAGGCCGCGGGUAUAGCCGCGCCCAAAAUUAACCGCCCGAAGGCCGGGCCGCCAAGUUCGUCCAGCGGAAAAAGGCCACAAAAACGGGUGGGCUAUAGCCUUGGGGGGUGGGGCUGGCCAACUUCGUCCGCUGGACUCGGAAUGCCGCGAGACUUUGCGAGGGGCCUCGAUGUGCCAAAAAUAGGCCACGGGCAAAGCCGCGCCCAAAAAUAACCGCCCCAAGGCCGGGGCGCCAAGUUCGUCCAGCGGAAAAAGGCCACAAAAACGGGUGGGCUAUAGCCUUGGGGGGUGGGGCUGGCCAACUUCGUCCGCCGGACUGGGAAUGCCGCGAGACUUUGAGAGGGGCCUCCAUGUGCCAAAAAUAGGCCGCGGGCAUUGCCACGCCCAAAAUUGACCGCCCGAAGGCUGGGGCGGCAAGUUCAUCCAGCGGAAAAAGGCCACAAAAACGGGUGGGCUAUAGCCUUGGGGGGUGAUGCUGGCCAACUUCGUCCGCCGGACUCGGAAUGCUGCGAGACUUUGCGAGGGGCCUCCGUGUGCCAAAAAUAGGCUGCGGGUAAUGCCAAGGCUAAAAAUAACCACCCGACAGCCAGGGUGCCAAGUUCGUCUAGCGGAAAAAGGCCACAAAAACGGGUGGGCUAUAGCCUUGGGGGUGAUGCUGGCCAACUUCGUCCGCCGGUCUCGGAGGGCCGCGAGACUUUGCGAGGGGCCUCCGUGUGCCAAAAAUAGGCUGUGGGCAAAGCCGUAACCAAAAAUAACCGCCCGACGGCCGGGGCGCCAAGUUCGUCCCGCGGAAAAAGGCCACAAAAACGGGUGGGCUAUAGCCUUGGGGGGUGAUGCUGGCCAAGUUCGUCCGCCGGACUCGGAAUGCCGCGAGAAUUUGCGAGGGGCCUCCGUGUGCCAAAUAUAGGCCGCGGACAAAGCCGCGCCCAAAAAUAACCGCCCGACGGCCGGGGCGCCAAGUUAGUCCCGCGGAAAAAGGCCACAAAAACGGGUGGGCUAUAGCCUUGGGGGGUGGGGCUGGCCCACUUCGUCCGCCGGACUCGGAAUGCCGCGAGACUUUGCGAGGGAUCUCCGUGUGCCAAAAAUAGGCCGCGGGCAAUGCCGCGCUCAAAAAUAGCCGCCCGAAGGCCGGGGCGCCAAGUUCGCCCAGCGGAAAAAGGCCACAAAAACAUGUGGGCUAUAGCCUUGGGGGUGGGGCUGGCCAACUUCGUCCGCCGGACUUGGAAUGCCGCGAGACUUUGCGAGGGGCCUCCGUGUGCCAAAAAUAGGCCGUGGGAUGUUUAAAAGGUUCGUGGUUCAAAAUUUUAUGUUAUCUAGUGAUAAAAUUUUGUACUGCAUUUUAUAGAUAGGUAGCAGCAGCAAGUUCCGGGGCGCCAUGUUCGUCCAGCGGAAAAAGGCCACAAAAACGGGUGGGCUAUAGCCUUGGGGGGUGAUGCUGGCCAACUUCGUCCGCCGGACUCGGAAUGCCGCGAGACUUUGCGAGGGGCCUCCGUGUGGCAAAAAUAGGCCGCGGGCAAAGCCGCGCCCAUAAUUAACCGCCCGAAGGCCGGGGCGCCAAGUUCGUCCAUUGGAAAAAGGCCAAAAAAACGGGUGUGCUAUAGCCUUGGGGGGUGAUGCUUGCAAACUUCAUCCGCCGGACUUGGAAUGCCGCGAGACUUUGCGAGGGGCCUCCGUGUGCCAAAAAUAGGCCGCGGGCAAAUCCGCGCCCAAAAAUAACCGCCCGACGGCCGGGGCGCCAAGUUCGUCCAGCGGAAAAAGGCCACAAAAACGGGUGGGCUAUUGCCUUGGGGGGUGAUGCUGGCCAACUUCGUCCGCCGGACUUGGAAUGCCGCGAGACUUUGCGAGGGGCCUCCGUGUGCCAAAAAUAGGCCGUGGGAUGUUUAAAAGGUUCGUGGUUCAAAAUUUUAUGUUAUCUAGUGAUAAAAUUUUGUACUGCAUUUUAUAGAUAGGUAGCAGCAGCAAGUUCCGGGGCGCCAAGUUCGUCCAGCGGAAAAAGGCCACAAAAACGGGUGGGCUAUAGCCUUGCUGGGUGAUGCGGGCCAACUUCGUCCGCCGGACUCGGAAUGCCGCGAGACUUUGCGAGGGCCCUCCGUGUGCCGAAAAUAGGCCGCAGGCAAAGCUGCGCCCAAAAAUAACCGCCCGACAGCUGGGGCGCCAAGUUCGUCCAGCGGAAAAAGGCCACAGAAACGGGUGGGCUAUAGCCUUGGGGGGUGGGGCUGGCCAACUACGUCCGCCGGACUCGGAAUGCCGCGAGACUUUGUGAGGGGCCUUCGUGUGCCAAAAAUAGGCCGCGGGCAAAGCCAAGACCAAAAUUAACUGCCCGAAGGCCGGGGCGCCAAGUUCGUCCAGCGGAAAAAGGCCACAAAAACGGGUGGGCUAUAGCCUUGGGGGGUGGGUCCGGCCCACUUCGUCCGCCGGAGUCGGAAUGCGGCGAGACUUUGCGAGGGGCCUCCGUGUGCCAAAAAUAGGCCGCGGGCAAAAAUAACCGCCCGAAGUCCGGGGCGCCAAGUUCGUCCAGCGGAAAAAGGCCACAAAAACGAGUGGGCUAUAGCCUUGGGGGGUGGGGCUGGCCAACUUCGUCUGCCGGACUCGGAAUGCCGCGAGACUUUACGAGGGGUCUCCGUGUGCCAAAAAUAGGCCGCGGACAAAGCCGUGCCCAAAAAUAACCGCCCGAAGGCCGGGGGGCAAAGUUCGUCCAGCGGAAAAAGGCCACAAAAACGGGUGGGCUAUAGCCUUGGGGGGUGGGGCUGGCCAACUUCGUCCGCCGGACUCGGAAUGCCGCGAGACUUUGCGAGGGGCCUCCGUGUGCCAAAAAUAGGUCGCCGGCAAAGCCGCGCCCAAAAAUAACCGCCCGAAGGCCGGGGCGCCAAGUUCGUCCAGCGGAAAAAGGCCACAAAAACGGGUGGGCUAUAGUCUUGGGGGGUGGGGCUGGCCAACUUCGUCCGCCGGACUCGGAAUGCCGCGAGACUUUGCGAGGAGCCUCCGUGUGCCAAAAAUAGGCCGUAGGCAAACCCGCACCCAAAAAUAACUGCCCAAAGGCCGGGGCGCCAAGUUCGUGCAGCGGAAAAAGGCCACAAAAACGGGUGGGCUAUAGCCUUGGGGGGUGGGGCUGGCCAACUUCGUCCGCCGGACUCGGAAUGCCGCGAGACUUUGCGAGGAGCCUCCGUGUGCCAAAAAUUAGGCCGU